UACGUAGGUGGCAAGCGUUAUCCGGAAUUAUUGGGCGUAAAGAGCGCGCAGGUGGUUGAUUAAGUCUGAUGUGAAAGCCCACGGCUUAACCGUGGAGGGUCAUUGGAAACUGGUCGACUUGAGUGCAGAAGAGGGAAGUGGAAUUCCAUGUGUAGCGGUGAAAUGCGUAGAGAUAUGGAGGAACACCAGUGGCGAAGGCGACCACCUGGACUGAUACUGACACUGAGGUGCGAAAGCGUGGGGAGCAAACAGGAUUAGA
This 259-nucleotide ribosomal RNA is filed under the name uncultured prokaryote. Its description in RNAcentral is "partial 16S ribosomal RNA". It matches the Rfam family "Bacterial small subunit ribosomal RNA", at positions 524 to 782 of the family's 1533-position model. The record is from RNAcentral.